This 253-nucleotide ribosomal RNA is filed under the name uncultured bacterium. RNAcentral describes it as "partial 16S ribosomal RNA". It matches the Rfam family "Bacterial small subunit ribosomal RNA", at positions 524 to 776 of the family's 1533-position model. The record is from RNAcentral.
UACGUAGGGGGCGAGCGUUAUCCGGAAUUACUGGGUGUAAAGGGAGCGUAGACGGCGAAGUAAGCCUGAAGUGGAAGCCCGCGGCCCAACCGCGGAACUGCUUUGGGAACUGCUUAGCUGGAGUAUGGGAGGGGUAAGCGGAAUUCCUGGUGUAGCGGUGAAAUGCGUAGAUAUCAGGAGGAACACCGGUGGCGAAGGCGGCUUACUGGACCAUGACUGACGUUGAGGCUCGAAAGCGUGGGGAGCGAACAGG